RNAcentral lists this ribosomal RNA (49 nucleotides) under Ciboria carunculoides. RNAcentral's name for it is "partial 28S ribosomal RNA". The record is from RNAcentral. Lineage: Eukaryota; Fungi; Ascomycota; Leotiomycetes; Helotiales; Sclerotiniaceae.
AUGACCUCGAAUCAGGUAGGGUUACCCGCUGAACUUAAGCAUAUCAAUA